This 375-nucleotide unclassified non-coding RNA is filed under the name uncultured bacterium. RNAcentral describes it as "contains 16S-23S intergenic spacer region". The record is from RNAcentral.
UCCGGUUUGUCACCGGCAGUCUCCCUAGAGUUCCCGCCAUUACGCGCUGGCAACUAGGGACAAGGGUUGCGCUCGUUGCGGGACUUAACCCAACAUCUCACGACACGAGCUGACGACAGCCAUGCACCACCUGUACACCACCAAAAGAAGCCCUAUCUCUAGAGCGGCACGGUGUAUGUCAAACCCAGGUAAGGUUCUUCGCGUUGCAUCGAAUUAAUCCGCAUGCUCCACCGCUUGUGCGGGCCCCCGUCAAUUCAUUUGAGUUUUAACCUUGCGGCCGUACUCCCCAGGCGGUCGACUUAUCGCGUUAGCUUUGCGCCACCGAUCCGCUACGCGGACCAACGGCUAGCACACAUCGUUUACGGCGUGGACUAC